RNAcentral lists this small nucleolar RNA (84 nucleotides) under Monopterus albus (swamp eel). RNAcentral's name for it is "Small nucleolar RNA SNORD100 (ENSMALG00000011235.1)". It matches the Rfam family "Small nucleolar RNA SNORD100". Rfam says of the family: The members of this family belong to the C/D class of snoRNAs which contain the C (UGAUGA) and D (CUGA) box motifs. Most of the members of the box C/D family function in directing site-specific 2'-O-methylation of substrate RNAs. Lineage: Eukaryota; Metazoa; Chordata; Actinopteri; Synbranchiformes; Synbranchidae. The record is from RNAcentral.
UGGAUCAUUGAUGAUAUCUUGGCUCCCUCUACUGAACCUCAUGUGGAAGCCUGCCAUUGUUACCCAAUAUCUGUCUGAGAUGUG